CUUCCCUCACAUCUGGACCUCACACCCACCCCCUCUCUCCUCUCUCUCUCGCGUCGAGAAGAAAGAAAGGAAGCGAAAGCUCUAGUAGUCUCGUCACCUGCACACAGACCGCUCGUGAGGCGAGAGAGAGAGGGGCCGAGGCCGAGGCCACCAAACCAAAAAGGAAAAUAUUUUUUUUCUUGGAGAAGAACACGCACGCAUACGCAUCGAGGAGGGAGGCGGGGGCAUACAGGAGAGGGUGGAAGGGAACCCUAGUCAAACAGAGACGGAUCUGCCCUCCGCCGCCGACGCCGACGCCGACAACGAUCGCCUGGGUCUGUCUGGAUGUGGAGAUCCUGAAUUCCUAGAAUCAAAUUUCUUGAGAUGGAUAUGAAGUGGGCAACAAGAGGACGAAGGGGGCUGGGUCUGAACAUGACAGGAAUGCAGCGAAGAAUCGUAUUCAGCUCUGCUUCCGCCUCUUGUUGAUGGGCUAUCUCAGUAAUGGAAUGAAGCAUCCAGGCACCCCUUGAACACCCUGUUUAUCAUUGUAUAUCACUAACAUAUUACGCUGGUUGUUGCAGAUUUCUUGCUAUACAGAAGGUCAAUAAUAGUUCUCUUCCAGUAGGUGCUAUUGCCCUGGAAGAUUGUUACUGAAUCCACCAGUUAAACAUUCAAGUUAUAUGCAUUUACACAUGACAUGGGGUCUCGUGGAAGGAUGUUAUUUGACCUCAAUGAGCUCCCAACAGAAGCUGACGAAGAAGAAGCUGCUGUUGUUGUGUCCCAACCUCAGCUUCCUGUUCCCAAUAUGUAUCCCUCAAAUUUGUUUCCACCACAAGAAGUGCCUUGGUCACAAGGGAUAUUAAACAACCAUGCCUUUAAUCAUGCAUCUUCUGGUUCAGGUUUUCAGCCUUUUGUGAGAAGUACAGAUUCACAAAAUGUAAAGAAUCCUAUGAAUACAGGAGAGAAUUUGGAUGCUACUGCGGCUUCUACAUCUGUGGUAACUAAUCAUUUAUCUGAUAGUGUUAUGUGUCCUACUGGGCCCUCCAAUCAGGUUGCACAAUCAGUUGAAAGAGAAGAGGGAGAGUGGUCUGAUGCAGAUGGUGCUUCUGACACAGCAGGUAGUAGUGUCAGCAACAAGGAAGAAUCUGCUGGUACUGCAAGUACUCAAGUGAAAAGAGAAUCCCAAGAGAGUGGACCUGCUAUUGUUAAAUCUAGUGAUGUGAUUAAAGAUGACAUUGCUCCUGAACCUGGUGACACUGAAAUGUCUGAUGUGUCUAAAGGUCCAGUCCUUCAUGGUCCGACAGGACUAGAGAGCAUGAAAACGUCUGAAUCUAAAGGAAGUCAACCUGUGGAUGAUUUGGACCAGUGCACUAAGUCAAAGGAUGUCAGAGGAGUAGAAGCCAGUUAUGCAUUGAAGUGCACGAACAACCCUGCAAAGAGACCUAAGUUAGAUGAUCACAAAGUUGCAAUGCUUGGUAAAAAGCGAGCGAGGCAGACUGUGUUCAUCAAUGUUGAGGAUGCAAAACAAGCUGGCACAAUGAAGACAAUUACACCGAGGAGACAGUCAUCUUUUCCAGCACCAAUUGUUACACGUACCGUGAAAGAAGCUUCUCGUGGUGUUGGUGAAAGAGCUGCAGACAAGCAGAACCAACCAGUCAUCAGGGAUCAGAGACAAUCUGAGAUGAUUGGUUCAGAAAGAAGUAAUUCUGCAGAUCCUUGUGACCAAAAUGGAGAAUCUAAUGGUGAUUUUGAGUUGGGAUCUCACGGCAGGUCAAAGAAAAUGAAUGCCGAAGAACCCCCCUCAGAUAGUUACCAGCAAUCUGUGCCAAGGCAGGCCUUUUCAAAGCAGCCCACGGAUUCCAAGCAGUUCAAAGGCAGACCAGUCUCUUCCCAGAGAGCACUUCUAACAGGACAACAUACUGCAGAUCAGAAGCCAGCUAACAAAAGGUCUCUUGUUCCAAAGAAGCAAGCUUCAGUUAAUAACACACAGUAUAAUGACUCAUCUGUCGAACGACUUAUACGGGAAGUGACAAAUGGCAAGUUCUGGCACAAUCCAGAGGAGGAAGAACUUCAGUGUGUUCCUGGAAGCUUUGAUUCUGCCGAGGAGUACAUUAGAGUUUUUGAGCCUUUGCUUUUUGAGGAAUGCAGAGCUCAGCUAUACAGUUCCUACGAGGAGAGUCUCGAGGCUGUAUCAAGGGAUGCACAUGUAAUGGUGCGCGUGAAAAGUGUGGAUAGGCGUGAAAGAGGAUGGUAUGAUGUUAUUGUUUUGCCAACACAUGAAUAUAAAUGGACUUUUAAAGAAGGAGAAGUUGCAAUUUUGUCGUCCCCCCGGCCUGGUUCAGCUGCCCAAUCAAGUAGAUCUAAUAGGAAGACCGCUGCUUCAAAUGAAGACGCUGAAGCUGACUGUGGACGGCUUGUAGGUACAGUCAGACGCCAUAUGCCUAUUGAUACGCGUGAUCCCAUUGGAGCAAUUAUCCAUUUUUAUUCUGGGGAUUCAUUUGAUUGUAGCAGCGAGACUAAUGUUCUGAGGAAACUGCAACCUCGAAGCACCUGGUAUCUAACGGGUCUUGGUUCCCUUGCAACAACACAAAGGGAAUAUGUAGCAUUGCAUGCAUUCCGCCGUCUUAAUGUGCAGAUGCAAAACGCAAUUCUUCAGCCAAGUCCAGAGCACUUCCCAAAAUAUCAAGAGCAGCCGCCUGCUAUGCCUGACUGUUUCACUCCAAGUUUUUCUGAUCAUAUCAAUCGUACUUUCAAUGGGCCUCAGCUAUCGGCGAUUCAUUGGGCUGCAAUGCACACAGCUGCUGGCACAAGCAAUGGAGUGGUCAAGAAACAAGAACCAUGGCCUUUCACAUUAGUACAAGGUCCUCCGGGGACAGGGAAAACCCAUACCGUGUGGGGAAUGUUAAAUGUUAUUCAUCUUGUUCAGUAUCAACAUUACUAUGCUGCUCUGCUAAAGAAACUUGCUCCUGAAAGUUACAAGCAAGUUGGUAGUACCACUAACAGCAGCUCAGAGGCUUUUGCUGCUGGGUCUAUUGAUGAAGUUUUGCAGAGCAUGGAUCAGAACCUUUUCCGCACUCUUCCCAAGCUUUGCCCCAAACCACGGAUGCUUGUGUGUGCCCCAUCAAAUGCUGCAACAGAUGAGCUGCUUUCUCGUGUUCUUGACCGAGGUUUCAUAGACGGUGAGAUGAAGGUUUACCGCCCUGAUGUUGCCCGUGUUGGAGUUGACACACAGUCUCGUGCUGCCCAAGCUGUAUCAGUUGAGCGACGGACGGAACAGCUUUUAAUGAAGGGCCGUGAUGAAGUAAUUGGGUGGUUGCAGCAGCUAAAAGGCCGUGAGCAGCAGUUAUCACAGGAGAUAGGGCUUCUACAGAGGGAACUUAAUAUCGUUGCAGCAGCUGGUAGAUCCCAUGGUUCGGUUGGGGUAGAUCCUGAUGUGCUUGCUCACAGGGAUCGUAACCGUGACAUUCUGCUUCAAAAACUUGCUGCCUCUGUAGAAAGCAGGGAUAAAGUACUUGUAGAGAUGUCAAGGCUGCUGAUAUUAGAAAGCAGGUUCCGUGUUGGUAGCAACUUCAAUCUGGAAGAUGCUAGGUCUAGUCUGGAAGCCAGUUUCGCCAACGAAGCAGAAAUUGUUUUUACAACAGUGUCAAGCAGCGGGCGCAGGUUAUUUUCUCGCCUUAGUCAUGGUUUUGAUAUGGUUGUUAUCGAUGAGGCUGCUCAGGCCAGUGAAGUUGGAGUCCUCCCUCCACUUGCACUUGGUGCCGCUAGAUGUGUCUUGGUAGGUGAUCCACAGCAGCUCCCUGCCACUGUUAUUAGUAAAGCGGCUGGAACUUUACUCUAUAGCAGGAGCCUUUUUGAGAGGUUUCAGCAGGCUGGUUGCCCUACCAUUUUGUUGUCAGUGCAAUAUCGGAUGCAUCCCCAGAUCCGAGAGUUUCCAUCACGAUACUUCUAUCAAGGCCGCCUUACAGACAGUGAAAGUGUUGUCAAACUGCCUGAUGAGUUGUAUUACAAAGAUGCAUUAAUGGCACCUUACAUAUUUUAUGACAUCUCACAUGGUCGUGAGUCUCAUAGAGGUGGAUCAUCUUCAUACCAGAAUGUUCAUGAAGCUCAGUUUGCAUUGCGUUUAUAUGAGCAUCUUCAGAAGCUCGUGAAAGUUAAUGGUGGUAAGAAGGCAUCUGUUGGUAUAAUCACUCCAUAUAAGUUGCAGUUGAAGUGUCUUCAGCGGGAAUUUGAGGAGGUCAUGAAUACUGAGGAAGGGAAAGAUAUCUACAUAAACACAGUAGAUGCUUUUCAAGGCCAGGAGCGUGAUGUGAUUAUCAUGUCAUGCGUGCGUGCUUCAAACCAUGGUGUGGGUUUUGUUGCAGAUAUACGGCGCAUGAAUGUUGCUCUUACUCGAGCUAGGAGAGCUCUAUGGGUUGUUGGUAAUGCCAGUGCUCUCAUGCAGUCAGAGGACUGGGCGGCGCUGGUAGCAGAUGCAAAGGCCAGGAAAUGUUUCAUGGACUUGGAUAGCAUCCCCAAGGACUUUCUGGCCAUGAAGAUCUCUUCCAACACUCCAGGAAGGAAUACUUCAAACAACCUAAGGAACUUGAGGACUGGUGGACCAAGACCGAGGCAUUUGGACAUGCUUCCGGACCCCAGGAUUGGCAUGAGGGCUGAUGAGGAUGAGCGUCCUAACUCUGUUCCAAGAAAUGCUAGUUACCGGAAUUUGGAUGACCUGGGACGAUCUGGUGAUAGAUCUAGGGAAAGUUUGCAGUUUGGAGUGGCCAAGAGGCCGAAUUCAUCCAAUGGUUCUCGGAGAGAAGUCUGAAGACAAUGCAUUGCUAUCUUCAUCUUUGCGUGCGCGUAACAAUGAUGAGCUUCCUCGGGAUGAAGCUUGGUUGGAGCAAAGCAUCACCUAUUGGAAGAUGUACACCCUGGGUGGGUUGUGUUAAGGAGAAGGCAUUAUUGACAUAAUGAAAGGAUUCCUCAUGAAAUGAGUAGGCCUCUCGGCGGCAUGUUGCAACAACAGCCACUGACGGCAGGCCAAUCAGAUCGUCAGAUGGCGCUCUGUUGGGUGGUUCAGAUUACAGUAGAAAAAGGCUGCCCCAGGUCCUCAGUGUUCUGCAAUUGUGCAGGACACAUUUGGUCUGUUGAUAUAACCAGACUUCAACAAGGCUGCAGCUGGAUGGUUUCUUUCUGGGAUUGCAAUACUUGCUUUCUCAUAGUUAUAAAUACAUGCGCAUGGGCAUUUCCAUUUUGAGACAUGCCAGGAGAGAUAAAUCUCACUGGCCCUAGAGCAAGGGUAUACCUGAUCAUGUUUCAUAAUCUGUCAGAAGAGUGAGGACACAUCUUAGCUUGGAAUGCUGCUGGUUCGGUGGUGGUCCUCUGAGAUGUCAGGCUACACCUUAUGAUGUACUAUGACUUCGAUCCUGGCUGGGUGCUGCUGGACAGUGGUGGUCAUCGAAGAUCUCAGGGUGUUUCCUGUUCUGUCGGGUUUGGUGCUGUUGUACGACACGAAAAGAUUACUUGCCAGCUUGGUGUGAUGCAUGUAUGCCCUAAGGAAGACCUUACGUCCAAGCUGGAGUGCUUUUCUGGUACUUGAAAGCGAACAUGCUGCAAACUGUGAUUAUUUCAAUUCGCAAUGUAACACAGAUUGUGAUUAUUUUUCUGGCGAAAAGGAUCUGAUACAUUAUGAAGAUUCACUUGAAGUA
This is an RNA transcript of Aegilops tauschii subsp. strangulata, 5666 nucleotides long. RefSeq lists it as uncharacterized. NCBI's taxonomy places the organism in Eukaryota, Viridiplantae, Streptophyta, Magnoliopsida, Poales, Poaceae. The record is from RefSeq and is a predicted model, not a curated record.